RNAcentral lists this non-coding RNA (28 nucleotides) under Mus musculus (house mouse). The record is from RNAcentral. Lineage: Eukaryota; Metazoa; Chordata; Mammalia; Rodentia; Muridae.
UGGAGAGAAACUUAUGUGGUGUCCUGGU